Molecule: long non-coding RNA, 873 nt
Filed under: Homo sapiens (human)
Lineage: Eukaryota; Metazoa; Chordata; Mammalia; Primates; Hominidae
Description: non-protein coding lnc-VWDE-11:1
Source: RNAcentral
AUUCGCUUUUUGUAGAGCAAAUGAACGCGCUGUCUCACGUGUUUCUAGCAGCAUCCCGGGGAACUGGCCACAGAUAGAAAUAUUCCAGUUUGACACAUAAGGAAAUACACUCUGAAAGAUGAAAGGGAUGUUUCUUUUUUUCUUUUCUUUCAAAUUGCUCACACAAUUUUAAUUGCAAUAGAUAUAAUUUCCAAUAUACCAUUCAACUACACCAUUUGUAUGUGCUGGAGUGAGACAGGAGUAUUUUGAUUGAGUGUCCAGUUCUCUUUAAAACUAGCGUUUGCAGUUAACGACUUGGAAAAUACAACACAAAAAGCCAUCUAGCCUUUUUUUUUUUUUUAAUCUCUAUUUAUCCCUUCAAAAUUCCCUUUGUGGCCAUAUACAUACUAGGUGGCUCUACCUGCAGAAAGCUGCAUUUUCCAAGCAGCGGGAGAGUUUAAUUCUUAACUUUCCUGUACUCCAGCCUCUGCUGGCUCCCUUGCAUUUUUGUUUCCAUCCUCUUCUUUGUCUUCUGUGCCUUUCGUUCUAGGUUAAUCUGCGCAAGCUCUUCACUUUUGUCUGAAUGUAUUUUAGCGGUGAAUUACUCCUUCUGGCUAAGAGCUUCACAUCUUCAGUGUUAAUGGUGGUGGUUUUCGCAUGUCUUGCACACAUUUCUAGAUCUUGCACUGUCGAAAAGUCAGCUCCGAAAUUGCUGCAAUGAUAAGUUUGCUGAACUGCAUCUCUGCCCAAUGCCACUUCCUCGCAAAGACAACCCACAGUGUAGUCCACUGCUGCCUCCUUUGGCCUCUGUUGGUAAGAAAAUGGCUAAGAAAAUCGCUGCUGCUCCUCCACCUCCACCUCCUCCUCCAUCAGAACGGCGAGGCAAACGCGCAG